UAUCCAAAUUAGGUGCUCAAUAAUAUCAUUAUAUAAAACCUUCAUGUUGUUCAAACAGAUUUAAAACUAGAAGUGUGAUGGCAUAUCUGCUGUUGAGGAAUGUUAGGGAAAAUCUCAUUUGGCAGAGACGAGUAACCGGAGAGCUUGACCAUGCAUGGCUCUUGUUUGCCAAAGAAGAUUUGCCCUGCCAUUUUUAACAGCUUUUGAUUAACACUAAUGCGUCCGAUUCUUGAGUGAUAUGUUGAAGAAUGAUAAAAGAUUGUCCAAAGAACCCAUAAGAAGAAUGAACUAUAUUGUGAGCAGUCUGCUGUUUAUUUGUGAGCAGUAGUGCACAAAUAUUAUUCUAUCAUAUUAAUAAAGAAUUAUAGAUUUGUCAAACA
Long non-coding RNA from Lathyrus oleraceus (garden pea), 380 nucleotides. RefSeq lists it as uncharacterized. Lineage: Eukaryota; Viridiplantae; Streptophyta; Magnoliopsida; Fabales; Fabaceae. The record is from RefSeq and is a predicted model, not a curated record. The transcript is spliced from 2 exons.